UAAAUUUUAAGUUAUAUAAACUAAGAACCUUCAAAGUUCUCAAAAAGACUAUUCUUAAAUUUAA
Molecule: transfer RNA, 64 nt
Filed under: Metacrangonyx repens
Lineage: Eukaryota; Metazoa; Arthropoda; Malacostraca; Amphipoda; Metacrangonyctidae
Description: transfer RNA Tryptophan
Source: RNAcentral